UACAGAGGGUGCAAACGUUGUUCGGAAUUACUGGGCGUAAAGCGUGUGUAGGCUGCUACAUAAGUCGGAUGUGAAAGCCCCGGGCUCAACCCGGGAAGUGCACUCGAUACUGCGUAGCUUGAGUCUCGGAGAGGUUGGUGGAAUUCUCGGUGUAGAGGUGAAAUUCGUAGAUAUCGAGAGGAACACCGGUGGCGAAGGCGGCCAACUGGACGAAGACUGACGCUGAGACACGAAAGCGUGGGGAGCGAACAGG
RNAcentral lists this ribosomal RNA (253 nucleotides) under uncultured bacterium. RNAcentral's name for it is "partial 16S ribosomal RNA". It matches the Rfam family "Bacterial small subunit ribosomal RNA", at positions 524 to 776 of the family's 1533-position model. The record is from RNAcentral.